RNAcentral lists this long non-coding RNA (360 nucleotides) under Lepidothrix coronata (blue-crowned manakin). RNAcentral's name for it is "lncRNA (ENSLCOG00000001374.1)". Lineage: Eukaryota; Metazoa; Chordata; Aves; Passeriformes; Pipridae. The record is from RNAcentral.
CGGAAGCGCGAAAGCAGAUCCCCGCGAUGGAUGAACAUGAAAAGCCAAACAUAUCGAUCACUGUGUGCAGCGCUGGCAGCCCAGCUGUGGUGGCAGCAGCCUUGCAGGCUGUGCUGCAGUCGCACAAUCACACACAAGGCUGGGAGCAGUGUCCCUGCUGCAGGAACCAUCAGGACCACGGAGCUGCCCUGCCCGAGGGGCCCAAACGCCUGUGGCCUCUGCUCCACGACCCCCAGAGCACGUGGUGUGCAAGGGCUUGAGAUCCAGGUGACAUCUGUCUACUCUGUCCUGGAGCAAAACCUAUCUCCACGUGCAGCUUCUGUGGGAAUAUGGGGUGUGAUGGACACAGCCUUAGCCAAC